AGUGAACGCUGGCGGUAGGCCUAACACAUGCAAGUCGAACGGUAACACAGGGAGCUUGCUCCCGGGUGACGAGCGGCGGACGGGUGAGUAAUGUCUGGGAAACUGCCUGAUGGAGGGGGAUAACUACUGGAAACGGUAGCUAAUACCGCAUAACGUCGCAAGACCAAAGAGGGGGACCUUCGGGCCUCUUGCCAUCAGAUGUGCCCAGAUGGGAUUAGCUAGUAGGUGGGGUAACGGCUCACCUAGGCGACGAUCCCUAGCUGGUCUGAGAGGAUGAACCGCCACACUGGAACUGAGACACGGUCCAGACUCCUACGGGAGGCAGCAGUGGGGAAUAUUGCACAAUGGGCGCAAGCCUGAUGCAGCCAUGCCGCGUGUAUGAAGAAGGCCUUCGGGUUGUAAAGUACUUUCAGCGAGGAGGAAGGCAUUGUGGUUAAUAACCACAGUGAUUGACGUUACUCGCAGAAGAAGCACCGGCUAACUCCGUGCCAGCCGCCGCCGUAA
Molecule: ribosomal RNA, 504 nt
Filed under: uncultured bacterium
Lineage: Bacteria
Description: partial 16S ribosomal RNA
Rfam family: Bacterial small subunit ribosomal RNA
Source: RNAcentral